CCCAGUCCUAAUCCAAUUAGGACUCUAGGAAUCCUAUCCGAAGUAGGAUUUGUGUUUAAGUCCAAUUAAUUAAUUCCCUUUGUUCCUUCUUCAACUUCUUAUCAAUCAAAUUGAUUACUUGUGAUUCCUAAUCACGAUUUCAACCAUCGGAUCGGUCAAUACUUCUAGUGUGUGUGACCCCAUAGGUUCUAUUCUGACUGGUAGUGAGAUAUAUUAUGAUCUCUAUCACAAUAUCAUUGAAAACUCCUUUCAAUGGGUUGGAAUGAUUCCAACUCAACUCAUUAGGGUUUAUCGAUCAUCAAGAUAAUCCCUAUGAGUCCCACC
This 324-nucleotide long non-coding RNA is filed under the name Phoenix dactylifera (date palm). RNAcentral's name for it is "long non-coding RNA (PDAC_LNC018276)". The record is from RNAcentral. Lineage: Eukaryota; Viridiplantae; Streptophyta; Magnoliopsida; Arecales; Arecaceae.